This 293-nucleotide unclassified non-coding RNA is filed under the name fungal sp. RNAcentral describes it as "partial internal transcribed spacer region". The stretch from base 1 to 46 matches the Rfam family "Eukaryotic small subunit ribosomal RNA", at positions 1786 to 1831 of the family's 1831-position model. The record is from RNAcentral. Lineage: Eukaryota; Fungi.
AAGUCGUAACAAGGUUUCCGUAGGUGAACCUGCGGAAGGAUCAUUAACACUUUUUCAAAAACUCCUUUUUUCUUUUGGCUCAAACCAAAAGAUUUAAGGUUUUAACCCCAAUUUAUUGCGAACGAUGAUUUUCCAAAAUCAUUUUUCUCUUCUUUAUCCUCUUUUUUUUUUACCCCAAUUUUUAAAAAAUCAAAAGCCUGAUAUAAAUCGUUUUCUCUUUUUUUUCAAAAAGAGUUUUAACGACCGAAACCUAAUGGUUAAAACAACUCUUAGCAACGGAUAUCUUGGCUCUC